Acanthosepion pharaonis is the source of this 92-nucleotide non-coding RNA. The record is from the annotation of a GenBank genome assembly. NCBI's taxonomy places the organism in Eukaryota, Metazoa, Mollusca, Cephalopoda, Sepiida, Sepiidae.
UACCGGUUUCCGUACGAUCACCGAAGUUAAGCAAUGUUAAAUCUGGUCAGUACCUAGAUAGUUACCCGCUUGGGAAUACCAGGUGCUGUAAG